RNAcentral lists this ribosomal RNA (522 nucleotides) under uncultured bacterium. RNAcentral describes it as "bacterial SSU rRNA". It matches the Rfam family "Bacterial small subunit ribosomal RNA", at positions 777 to 1297 of the family's 1533-position model. The record is from RNAcentral.
AAUAGAUACCCAGGUAGUCCACGCCGUAAACGUUGGGCGCUAGAUGUGGGGACCAUUCCACGGUUUCCGCGUCGUAGCUAACGCAUUAAGCGCCCCGCCUGGGGAGUACGGCCGCAAGGCUAAAACUCAAAGGAAUUGACGGGGGCCCGCACAAGCGGCGGAGCAUGCGGAUUAAUUCGAUGCAACGCGAAGAACCUUACCAAGGCUUGACAUAUGCGAGGACGCUCUAGAAAUAGAGAACUCUUUGGACACUCGUAUACAGGUGGUGCAUGGUUGUCGUCAGCUCGUGUCGUGAGAUGUUGGGUUAAGUCCCGCAACGAGCGCAACCCUCGUCGCAUGUUGCCAGCACGUAAUGGUGGGAACUCAUGUGAGACUGCCGGGGUCAACUCGGAGGAAGGUGGGGAUGACGUCAAAUCAUCAUGCCCCUUAUGUCUUGGGCUUUAUGCAUGCUACAAUGGCCGGUACAAAGGGCUGCGAAACCGCAAGGUGGAGCGAAUCCCAAAAAGCCGGUCUCAGUUCGGA